UGGGGAAUAUUGCACAAUGGGCGCAAGCCUGAUGCAGCCAUGCCGCGUGUGUGAAGAAGGCCUUCGGGUUGUAAAGCACUUUCAGCGGGGAGGAAGGCGGUGAGGUUAAUAACCUCAUCGAUUGACGUUACCCGCAGAAGAAGCACCGGCUAACUCCGUGCCAGCAGCCGCGGUAAUACGGAGGGUGCAAGCGUUAAUCGGAAUUACUGGGCGUAAA
This 217-nucleotide ribosomal RNA is filed under the name Klebsiella pneumoniae. Its description in RNAcentral is "partial 16S ribosomal RNA". It matches the Rfam family "Bacterial small subunit ribosomal RNA", at positions 355 to 564 of the family's 1533-position model. The record is from RNAcentral. Lineage: Bacteria; Pseudomonadati; Pseudomonadota; Gammaproteobacteria; Enterobacterales; Enterobacteriaceae.